CAAGUCGAACGCGGUUUUCCCGCAAGGGAAAACUGAGUGGCGAACGGGUGAGUAACACGUGGGUGACCUACCUUCGAGUGGGGGAUAACGUCCCGAAAGGGACGCUAAUACCGCAUAACAUCCUGCUCUUGAAUGAGCGGAGAUCAAAGCCGGGGAUCGUAAGACCUGGCGCUUGAUGAGGGGCUCGCGUCCGAUUAGCUAGUUGGUGAGGUAAUGGCUCACCAAGGCAACGAUCGGUAGCCGGCCUGAGAGGGCGGACGGCCACACUGGGACUGAGACACGGCCCAGACUCCUACGGGAGGCAGCAGUGGGGAAUUGUUCGCAAUGGGCGCAAGCCUGACGACGCAACGCCGCGUGGAGGAUGAAGGUCUUCGGAUUGUAAACUCCUGUUGCCAGGGACGAAUGGCCACGACCUAAUACGUCGUGGUGUGACGGUACCUGGUGAGGAAGCCCCGGCUAACUCUGUGCCAGCAGCCGCGGUAAUACAGAGGGGGCAAGCGUUGUUCGGAAUUACUGGGCGUAAAGGGCGCGUAGGCGGCCUGUUAAGUCGAACGUGAAAUCCCCGGGCUCAACCCGGGAACUGCGUCCGAUACUGGCAGGCUUGAAUCCGGGAGAGGGAUGCGGAAUUCCAGGUGUAGCGGUGAAAUGCGUAGAUAUCUGGAGGAACACCGGUGGCGAAGGCGGCAUCCUGGACCGGCAUUGACGCUGAGGCGCGAAAGCCAGGGGAGCAAACGGGAUUAGAUACCCCGGUAGUCCUGGCCCUAAACGAUGAAUGCUUGGUGUGGCGGGUAUCGAUCCCUGCCGUGCCGAAGCUAACGCAUUAAGCAUUCCGCCUGGGGAGUACGGUCGCAAGGCUGAAACUCAAA
This 866-nucleotide ribosomal RNA is filed under the name uncultured Acidobacteriota bacterium. RNAcentral's name for it is "bacterial SSU rRNA". It matches the Rfam family "Bacterial small subunit ribosomal RNA", at positions 58 to 905 of the family's 1533-position model. Lineage: Bacteria; Pseudomonadati; Acidobacteriota. The record is from RNAcentral.